AGAAGUUGGGGUUGAUGAUCCACAUGAUGGUGAUGGACCAGGACAGCUCUGGACCUCCUGACUGGCAGCUCCAUCCUCAACCUCUCUUCCUGCCCUUCACACGUGUGCAGGCAGCCAGUUUUCUGAAAGAUGGUUGAUGUCAGUACCAACAUGUUGUGAUGGAGGCUUCCACCUGAGCUGAACACAGAAACUUGCACACAGUGUUGGAAGCAGUCGUUCCUGCUCAGCAUCGAUAUGCCAGUAAUGGGUUUGAUGAGCCACAGCAUGGUGAUGGGCAAUCCGCAUCAGGACCAGGGCAGCUCACAAGGAGAACCUCCUGCCCUGCCUCGUCAUCCUCAACCUCCCAUCUCCCUGCUCUUCACACAUGUGCAGGCACGGAGCCAGUUUUCAGAGGGAGGGCUGAUGACACCAGCAACUUUGGUGAACCUGAUCAACCCAGCACCAACCACUGUGCCCCUCCUCCUCUGCCAACUGCACCACAUGGCUCCACCAUCUCAAAAAGGCACAGACACUACUCCUACUACUUCCUGCGAAGGAUGAGAGAAGAGCCGACCGCCCCACAUCGGCACUCACCACCUUCUACAGGGGUGUCAUUGAGAGCAUCCUGACCAGCAGCCUCUCUGUCUGGCAGCCGUCAAGCUGAAGACUAGAAGGCAGUACAGAGAGUGUGGUGAGAACGGCAGAAAAGCUCAUAAGAUCACCCCUACCAGCCAUUCAGGAUCUGUACACUUCACACUGUUCCAAGAGGGCAAUGAACAUCAUAAAGACACAACUCAUCCAGCAUACAGACUGUUCUCCCUACUACACAAGCACACUGGGAAACGGCUUCUUUCCACAAGCCAUCAGACUCCUCAACGCACUGAAGAAAACCACAUGAAUAUUCCAAGGACACUGGAGAAUAUUCCAUGAACACUUCUUUCACCAUGCCACUUACACUUUACUCAUUGCUCCUUAUAUACAGCAUCUUCACAUCACCUGUAUGAUCUCCUCCUGCCAUGUGUGUGUGUGUGUGUGU
Engraulis encrasicolus (European anchovy) is the source of this 1015-nucleotide long non-coding RNA. RefSeq lists it as uncharacterized. NCBI's taxonomy places the organism in Eukaryota, Metazoa, Chordata, Actinopteri, Clupeiformes, Engraulidae. The record is from RefSeq and is a predicted model, not a curated record. The transcript has 4 exons.